UUAGGAAUCUUCCGCAAUGGGCGGAAGCCUGACGGAGCGACGCCGCUUGGAGGAGGAAGCCCUUCGGGGUGUAAACUCCUGAACUGGGGACGAAAGCCCCGAUGAGGGGGAUGACGGUACCCAGGUAAUAGCGCCGGCCAACUCCGUGCCAGCAGCCGCGGUAAUACGGAGGGCGCGAGCGUUACCCGGAUUUACUGGGCGUAAAGGGCGUGUAGGCGGCUUGGGGCGUCCCAUGUGAAAGACCACGGCUCAACCGUGGGGGAGCGUGGGAUACGCUCAAGCUAGAGGGUGGGAGAGGGUGGUGGAAUUCCCGGAGUAGCGGUGAAAUGCGCAGAUACCGGGAGGAACGCCGAUGGCGAAGGCAGCCACCUGGUCCACUUCUGACGCUGAGGCGCGAAAGCGUGGGGAGCAAACCGGAUUAAAUACCCGGGU
This 432-nucleotide ribosomal RNA is filed under the name uncultured bacterium. RNAcentral describes it as "bacterial SSU rRNA". It matches the Rfam family "Bacterial small subunit ribosomal RNA", at positions 355 to 791 of the family's 1533-position model. The record is from RNAcentral.